UCCUUGGUGGUCCAGCAGUUAAGACUCAGCACUUUCACUGCUAUGACCCAGGUUCAGUACCUGGUCAGAGAA
This 72-nucleotide transfer RNA is filed under the name Ovis aries (sheep). It matches the Rfam family "tRNA". Rfam says of the family: Transfer RNA (tRNA) molecules are approximately 80 nucleotides in length. Their secondary structure includes four short double-helical elements and three loops (D, anti-codon, and T loops). Lineage: Eukaryota; Metazoa; Chordata; Mammalia; Artiodactyla; Bovidae. The record is from Rfam by way of RNAcentral.